Molecule: ribosomal RNA, 253 nt
Filed under: uncultured bacterium
Lineage: Bacteria
Description: partial 16S ribosomal RNA
Rfam family: Bacterial small subunit ribosomal RNA
Source: RNAcentral
UACGGAGGGUGCAAGCGUUAUCCGGAUUCACUGGGUUUAAAGGGUGCGUAGGUGGGCAGGUAAGUCAGUGGUGAAAUCUUUGGGCUUAACCCGAAAACUGCCAUUGAUACUAUUUGUCUUGAAUAUUGUGGAGGUCAGCGGAAUAUGUCAUGUAGCGGUGAAAUGCUUAGAUAUGACAUAGAACACCAAUUGCGAAGGCAGCUGGCUACGCAUAUAUUGACACUGAUGCACGAAAGCGUGGGGAGCAAACAGG